CAAAUUAAUUUACUCUCCUCAAUGGCUAUCUAACGCCCGCCAGGCGGCAACCCUUUCUUGCCGCCUUUUUC
This 71-nucleotide small RNA is filed under the name Salmonella enterica subsp. enterica serovar Typhi. RNAcentral describes it as "StyR-192". Lineage: Bacteria; Pseudomonadati; Pseudomonadota; Gammaproteobacteria; Enterobacterales; Enterobacteriaceae. The record is from RNAcentral.